RNAcentral lists this long non-coding RNA (1119 nucleotides) under Cyanistes caeruleus (blue tit). Its description in RNAcentral is "lncRNA (ENSCCEG00000006103.1)". Lineage: Eukaryota; Metazoa; Chordata; Aves; Passeriformes; Paridae. The record is from RNAcentral.
AUGCUGGGAUCCCCAGGAUCUCCCAAAUCCCAAAUGUGGAUUGGGAGGAGUUCGGGAAUGUUGGAAAAGGGGCUGGGAUUUGGGAAAGGUGGGAAAGCUCCUGAUCCCAGCUGGGAAUGGGAAUUGUUUGGGAAUUGUUUGGGAAUUCUUUGGGAAUUCCUUGAAAAUUCCUUGGGAAUUCUUUGGGAAUUCUUUGAGAAAUCUUUGGGAAUUCUUUGGAAAGUUUUUGGGAAUUCUUUGGGAAUUUGUUGGGAAUUCUUUGGAAAGUUUUUGGGAAUUCUCAGCACCGUUGCUCCCACCCAGGGUGGGACAAUUCCCGCUGGGAAUUCCUCUGGAAUGGGUGGGAAAUCAGCUCAGGCCAAUCCCAAAUCCCAGCUUUGGGAAUUCUGGGAUCCGUGCGGAUCCAGGUGGAGGCAGCAACGCAUCCCAAGGAUUUGUUGGGAAUGUUGGGAAUGUUUGGAAUGUUGCCUGGGAUCCCGUUCCAGCUCCCGGCCGGGUUUGUUUCCUGGAUCAGGCUGCAGAUCCCGGGAAAAGGCGACGCUCAGAGCCUGGAAAGAAUUCCCAGGGUUCCAAUCCCGGCCUCCUCCAGCCCCGGAAUCUCUAGCAGCAUUCCCGAGAUUCCGGCUUUUCCACCGGCAUUCCCGAAUUCCCAGCGGCACCGAGAUUCCGGCUUUUCCACUUCUGGGGAGCAGAUCCAGGGAUCCAGCCCAGGAUUUUUUGGGAGCUGAUCCCAGGAUUCACUCCCGGGUUUUUGGGGAUAAAUGCUGGGAUCCAUCCCAACAUUUUAGGGGAGUUUUGGGAGCAGAUCCCAGGAUCCAUCCCAGAUUUUGGGGGAUAAAUCCCAGGAUCCAUCCCAGAUUUUGGGGGAUAAAUCCCAGGAUCCAUCCCAGAUUUUGGAGGAUAAAUCCCAGGAUUCAUCCCAGGAUUUUGGGAGCUGAUCCCAGGAUCCAUCCCGGAUUUUGGGAGCUGAUCCCAGGAUCCAUCCCAGGAUUUGCUGGGGGGCCGUUCCCCGUUUUCCUGGCUCCGGCAGAGCCCGGAAUUCCUCUUCCAACUUUUUUCCCUUGGAUCCCUGAGUUCCCGGGAUCCGGGAGCUCAGCGGAGCCGCUGGAUCGGGACUGA